UACGUAGGUGGCGAGCGUUGUUCGGAUUUAUUGGGCGUAAAGGGUCCGCAGGAGGUUUGUUAAAAUUGGGGUGAAAUCCCGGAGCUCAACUCCGGAACUGCCUUGAUGACUGACGAACUAGAGUGCUGGAGAGGUAAGCGGAAUACCAGGUGUAGCGGUGGAAUGCGUAGAUAUCUGGUAGAACACCGAAAGCGAAGGCAGCUUACUGGACAGCAACUGACUCUCAGGGACGAAAGCGUGGGGAGCAAAC
This 250-nucleotide ribosomal RNA is filed under the name uncultured bacterium. Its description in RNAcentral is "partial 16S ribosomal RNA". It matches the Rfam family "Bacterial small subunit ribosomal RNA", at positions 524 to 773 of the family's 1533-position model. The record is from RNAcentral.